UUUAAACUUUUGUUUUUAUACUUAUAAUCUUUUAUAGUUUAUUUUUUUUUCUUUCUGUGAUGAUUUGUUUUUAUUAGGUUUUUACCUUUUGUAUAAGGUCUUCUAGAAAUGCUUUUGUUUAAUCUUUUUAGAAACGGGGAGAUUUUUAAAAUUGUUUUUAUUUUAAUAUUAAGUAAAACUUUUUUAAUGUGGUGAUACGUGUACGUUCCUCAUGGUAUCUAGUUUGUUCUAUAUUUUUGGGGGUAACCCCCAUACCUUUGGCUUUUAUUGUUUAGUUACUUUUGUUUUAAUAGUAAACUUUUGUGUAAUAACUUUUUUUUAUUUUUAGCUUACUUUUAUAAUUUAUUGAUAAAUUUUACUUUAAUUAGUGUAUUAGUAGGUUUUCUUUAUUUUUAUUAUUUUGUUUUUAUUUGUUUUUUAAAAAUUAUGUAUUUUACUUUUUACUUUUAAACUUGUUUAUUAAAAUCUUAGCUGGAUUAUUUCUAGUUACUUCUGCCCCAUGCUUUUUGUAAAUGGCUGUGGUUUCCACACUAAGGUAGCGAGAUCAUUAGUUAUUUGAUUGGUAACUUGUAUGAAAGGAGCUUUUUAAAAGUUAUUAUAAUUUUUUCUGAAAUUAUAUUUUUGUUGAAAAUAACAAUCUCCGCCCUAAGACAAAAAGACCCUAGAAUUUUUAUAAUUUAAAUUAUUUGGUUGGGGAAAUAUUUAAUUUUAUAAAUAUUAAAAAAUUUAUUUAUUUAUGAACUUUUUUUAAAGAAAGUUAGCUAAAAUACUCUAGGGAUAACAGCUUAAUGGUUUUUGUUAGUUCUUAUUACUAAAACUGUUUGGGACCUCGAUGUUGGAUUAGGUUUACUUUGGGGUGUAGAAGCUUUUUAAAGUUAGACUGUUCGUCUAUUGAAUACCUACAUGAUCUGAGUUAAAGUCGGUGUGAGCCAGACUGGAUUUUAUCUAGGGUUAUAAUUAUUUAUAUUUCAGUACGAAAGGACCUUUUAUUGGGUAGCUUACCUUUAUUUCUUUCUCUCU
Molecule: ribosomal RNA, 1020 nt
Filed under: Tyrophagus putrescentiae
Lineage: Eukaryota; Metazoa; Arthropoda; Arachnida; Sarcoptiformes; Acaridae
Description: 16S ribosomal RNA
Rfam family: Archaeal large subunit ribosomal RNA (bases 644-951)
Source: RNAcentral